This is a long non-coding RNA of Anguilla rostrata (American eel), 1331 nucleotides long. RefSeq lists it as uncharacterized. Lineage: Eukaryota; Metazoa; Chordata; Actinopteri; Anguilliformes; Anguillidae. The record is from RefSeq and is a predicted model, not a curated record. The transcript has 3 exons.
GGACGUCCGCGGUCAUAUCAGAGCUGUCGGGCGGCAGCCGGAAACUACAAGCAGCAAUGUGGGCUUUGACUGCGAGCAGGAAGUACCUCUGGGACUCAGCCACUCCAGUGCGGAGGGAGAAGAUUCAAUGUAUUCCGCUGUGAAGCAGAAAGAGCGUAUUGUGACUGAAGACGGAUCUAAACAAUGGCUUCCUGCUUUCAUGGUCCUUCCUUUCCUGAAUGAACAGAAUAGAGCAAGGAGGCUGGAACCUCUGAAGACUUGCGUUCGUCCAAUAAGAGUUGGCCUCUCCAAGAGGGAAAGACCCAAACAGCUUCACCCCUACUUCAAGUGAGCCUCACAUAACCCUUUCAGAAAUAUAUUUUCAGUAUACUGCAAUAUAUUGUAAAUGUAUAAAUGUAUACAAUGUGUUGUAGCACAUUUUUGAUGAAAAUGUUUUGCAAUGUCUGAAAGUGGCAAUAAUUUGUAUAUUUGCAAAGCAUUGCAAUAUAUUGACAGUAUAUUUUAUUUCAAUAUAAUUGCAAUAUAUUCGAUGUGUGCAAGGGAACGUAUUAGUAGUUACAGUUUAAUUUGAGUUACAGCUGCAGGCAACUUCAAAAUGGCAGGUUGUAAAAAUCCACAGUAUGUACUAGCAUGUUUACUGCCAUGAUUGUGAUGUCGCUGCAGCUGCGCUUGUUUAACAUUCAUUUUGACAACGUGAAACAGGCACUCGCAAUUGAAAAAUUCUCUGGCAUAUAUGCUUGGGGUCAUAGACAGAUGAGGCAAUUUAUUUGAUGGUUCCUGCAUGGAAAUUCAGGUUUUCCAGCUACAGAAGUUGUGUGUCAUUCUUCGGUAGGAUUGUCGUUUGCUCCAUUAGGUAGCAGUUAACAAAUUGCCUUAAAAGCGGCGGGAUUGUGUUGUGUUCGACGUUUCCUUCAUGCUUGCGUGCUUGUGUAAAGGAUGUUUGUUUUUAAAGGUAGUAGUCCUUUCAAGUACCUCUAUUUAUUAUUUAUUAUUAUUUAUUAUUUUUUUCCCACGUUUCCAGCUGUUAAAGUGACACACGCUGAAUAUUUAAAACGUGUUUGACCUCUCUGCUGUGUUUACUGUAGGAGAAUACUAACUAAGGCAGCUGUUGAACGCAGAAAUUCCUGUUAAAUUAUUUUAAAUCUUUCAAGUGUCUUGCCAGCAGUCCUGAAAUCACACAAUAUAAUAUUCACUGUGCAUUUUAAAAAGAAAUAGGCUAAUUCUUUUUUUUUUACAAUAUUGUUAUUAUAUUGUUUCUAAUUUGUGAUGUUGACAUGAUGUAUAAUAUAGUUUUCUUAAAUGAACUAAACUGCAAAAGAACGGUAAAGGUA